AGGUGGGAUCUUACUACAUUGCCCAGGCUGAAGUGCAGUGGCUAUUAACAGCCGUAAUCAUAAUGUAUUGCAGCUUUGAAUUCCUGGGCUUGAGUGACCUCCCCACCUCAGCCUCCUGAGUAGCUGAGACUACAAGAAAUAAGGAGAAAGAAGAAACAAAGAUGGGGUGGAAAUGUAAGAGAGGCAUUCUAAUAUACGCAUUCUUCAUGACAACUAUGUGAAACAUAUUAAUAUCCUCAUUGUUAAAGAUGAAGAAACUAAAUCUCAGGAAGAAAAACUAAGUGAAGACAAAAGAAGUAUUUGAACUGAGGUUUGUCAGACUCUCGGGACCAAGCUGUUGAAACCACUAAACCACACUGCCUCUGGGUCACUUGAUUAUUCUGGGAGAUUCUGGGAGUCUUUUCUCCAACACUCCAAUGGCAUCUGACUAUGUGAGCUGAUAAGAUCUAUAGAUCUCCCCGGCAGUUGUUGAAAAGCAAGAGCAGGAACCGAGAGAAAGCCCCUUCUUUUAGUGGAAAACUCUUGCUGUGCUUAGGAAAACCGUGAACCCAAACAGUGUGGGUCAGCCUUUCAAUAUGCAAAACGGACGAAGGCUGAAGCAAUCACAUGCCGUGCACAACUGUCAAACGGAAAGAAUGAAUGGUGGAUGGAAAGAAUGGGAAUGUGUACGCUAUCUUGCUCCACUUUGGACAGUCAUGAUCGUGGAAGAUAGAAGAGGAAUUUCUUAACAUUGGUCAGAGAAGAGGGUAUCAGUUAGCUGGAAGUGCUCCUCUGAAAAACUGAUGGCCCUUUGCAGGUGUGACUCUGAGCUCUGUUGGAUUUCUUGUGAAGAAAACUCCAAGGAAUGGAUGAAUGCCUGGAAACUUACUGCUGGAAGUCAUAAGGCAAUGACAAGAAAA
This 899-nucleotide non-coding RNA is filed under the name Pongo abelii (Sumatran orangutan). The record is from RNAcentral. Lineage: Eukaryota; Metazoa; Chordata; Mammalia; Primates; Hominidae.